GUCCCACUAACCUCAGCCUGCCUGGUAGAGCAUGAGACUCUUAAUCUCAGGGUUGUGGGUUCGAGCCCCACAUUGGACA
Molecule: non-coding RNA, 79 nt
Organism: Podarcis lilfordi (Lilford's wall lizard)
Lineage: Eukaryota; Metazoa; Chordata; Lepidosauria; Squamata; Lacertidae
Source: the annotation of a GenBank genome assembly